This 1349-nucleotide ribosomal RNA is filed under the name metagenome. RNAcentral describes it as "bacterial LSU rRNA". It matches the Rfam family "Bacterial large subunit ribosomal RNA", at positions 1564 to 2925 of the family's 2925-position model. The record is from RNAcentral.
UGAGUACGAGCUGCUACGGCAGCGAAGUGGGUGAUGUCAAGCUUCCAAGAAAAGCCCUAUACCCGUUAAGGCAUGACGGCCUGUACCCGAAACCGACACAGGUGGGGUGGUAGAGAAUACCGAGGGGCGCGAGAUAACUCUCUCUAAGGAACUCGGCAAAAUGGCCCCGUAACUUCGGGAGAAGGGGUGCCACCGCAAGGUGGUCGCAGUGAAGAGGCCCAGGCGACUGUUUACCAAAAACACAGGUCUCCGCUAAGUCGCAAGACGAUGUAUGGGGGCUGACGCCUGCCCAGUGCCGGAAGGUUAAGGAAGCUGGUCAGCGCAAGCGAAGCUAGCGACUGAAGCCCCGGUGAACGGCGGCCGUAACUAUAACGGUCCUAAGGUAGCGAAAUUCCUUGUCGGGUAAGUUCCGACCCGCACGAAAGGCGUAACGAUCUGGGCGCUGUCUCGGAGAGAGGCUCGGCGAAAUAGAAUUGUCUGUGAAGAUGCGGCCUACGUGCACCCGGACAGAAAGACCCUAUGAAGCUUUACUGUAGCUUGGUAUUGUGCCCGGGCUCUGAAUGCGCAGGAUAGGUGGGAGGCUUUGAUCCAUUGCUUGUGGGUAAUGGUGAGCCAACGGUGAGAUACCACUCUUUCAGAGCUAGGGUUCUAACCCUCACCCGUUAUCCGGGGAGGGGACAGUAUCAGGUGGGCAGUUUGACUGGGGCGGUCGCCUCCUAAAAGGUAACGGAGGCGCGCAAAGGUUUGCUCAGGCUGGUUGGAAAUCAGCCGACGAGUGUAAAAGCAGAAGCAAGCUUGACUGUGAGACCAACAAGUCGAACAGGGACGAAAGUCGGCUUUAGUGAUCCGACGGUUCUGAGUGGAAGGGCCGUCGUUCAACGGAUAAAAGUUACUCUAAGGAUAACAGGCUGAUCUCCCCCAAGAGUUCACAUCGACGGGGAGGUUUGGCACCUCGAUGUCGGCUCAUCGCAACCUGGGGCUGAAGUCGGUCCCAAGGGUUGGGCUGUUCGCCCAUUAAAGCGGUACGCGAGCUGGGUUCAGAACGUCGUGAGACAGUUCGGUCCAUAUCCGGUGCAUGCGUAAGAACAUUGACAGGAGUACUCCCUAGUACGAGAGGACCGGGAGGAACGCACCUCUGGUGUACCAGUUAUCGCGCCAACGGUAAACGCUGGGUAGCCAUGUGCGGAGAGGAUAACCGCUGAAAGCAUCUAAGUGGGAAGCCCACCUGAAGAUGAGUGUUCUCAUGGCUUAAGCCAGUAAGGUCACGGGAAGAACACCCGUUGAUAGGCUCUACGUGGAAGCGCAGCAAUGCGUGAAGCGGAGGAGUACUAAUAGACCGAGGGCUUGAC